This 253-nucleotide ribosomal RNA is filed under the name uncultured bacterium. Its description in RNAcentral is "partial 16S ribosomal RNA". It matches the Rfam family "Bacterial small subunit ribosomal RNA", at positions 524 to 776 of the family's 1533-position model. The record is from RNAcentral.
UACGGGGGGGGCAAGCGUUGUUCGGAAUUACUGGGCGUAAAGGGCUCGUAGGCGGCCAACUCAGUCGGACGUGAAAUCCCUCGGCUUAACCGGGGAAUGGCGUCCGAUACUGGAUGGCUUGAGUUUGGGAGAGGGAUGCGGAAUUCCAGGUGUAGCGGUGAAAUGCGUAGAUAUCGGGAAGAACACCCGUGGCGAAGGCGGCACUCUGGGACGGUACUGACGCUGAGACGCGAAAGCGUGGGGAGCGAACAGG